CAGCAGCCACGGGAAUACGAAGGGUGCAAGCGUUACUCGGAAUUACUGGGCGUAAAGCGUGCGUAGGUGGUGGUUUAAGUCCGUUGUGAAAGCCCUGGGCUCAACCUGGGAAUUGCAGUGGAUACUGGGUCACUAGAGUGUGGUAGAGGAUAGUGGAAUUUCCGGUGUAGCAGUGAAAUGUGUAGAGAUCGGAAGGAACAUCUGUGGCGAAGGCGACUAUCUGGGCCAACACUGACACUGAGGCACGAAAGCGUGGGGAGCAAACAGGAUUAGAUACCCCGGUAGUCCCUGUCUCUUAUAA
RNAcentral lists this ribosomal RNA (301 nucleotides) under uncultured bacterium. Its description in RNAcentral is "partial 16S ribosomal RNA". It matches the Rfam family "Bacterial small subunit ribosomal RNA", at positions 509 to 809 of the family's 1533-position model. The record is from RNAcentral.